This 300-nucleotide long non-coding RNA is filed under the name Mytilus galloprovincialis (Mediterranean mussel). Lineage: Eukaryota; Metazoa; Mollusca; Bivalvia; Mytilida; Mytilidae. The record is from RNAcentral.
CUUGCUGCUUACAAUUAUCUCUAUCUAUAAUGAACUAAAUUGACUAUAAAGGACAAUAACUCCUUAGGGGGUCAAUUGACCAUUUCAGUCAUGUUGACUUAUUUGUAAAUCUUACUUUGCUGUACAUUAUUGCUGUUUAAAGUUUAUCUCUAUCUAUAAUAAUAUUCAAGAUAAUAACCCAAAACAGUAAAAUUUCCUUAAAAUUACCAAUUUAGGGGCAGCAACCCAACAACGGGUUGUCUGAUUCAUCCGAAAUUUCAGGGCAGAUAGAUUUUGACCUGAUAAACAAUUCAACCCAAU